GUGGGGAAUAUUGGACAAUGGGCGAAAGCCUGAUCCAGCCAUGCCGCGUGUGUGAAGAAGGCCUUUUGGUUGUAAAGCACUUUAAGCGAGGAGGAGGCUACUUAGAUUAAUACUCUUGGAUAGUGGACGUUACUCGCAGAAUAAGCACCGGCUAACUCUGUGCCAGCAGCCGCGGUAAUACAGAGGGUGCAAGCGUUAAUCGGAUUUACUGGGCGUAAAGCGCGCGUAGGUGGCCAAUUAAGUCAAAUGUGAAAUCCCCGAGCUUAACUUGGGAAUUGCAUUCGAUACUGGUUGGCUAGAGUAUGGGAGAGGAUGGUAGAAUUCCAGGUGUAGCGGUGAAAUGCGUAGAGAUCUGGAGGAAUACCGAUGGCGAAGGCAGCCAUCUGGCCUAAUACUGACACUGAGGUGCGAAAGCAUGGGGAGCAAACAGGAUUAGAAACCCGUGUAGUCC
This 451-nucleotide ribosomal RNA is filed under the name uncultured bacterium. RNAcentral describes it as "partial 16S ribosomal RNA". It matches the Rfam family "Bacterial small subunit ribosomal RNA", at positions 354 to 796 of the family's 1533-position model. The record is from RNAcentral.